RNAcentral lists this small RNA (163 nucleotides) under Novilysobacter luteus. RNAcentral describes it as "Lysobacter sp. CECT 30171 sX15". It matches the Rfam family "Xanthomonadaceae sRNA sX15". The record is from RNAcentral. Lineage: Bacteria; Pseudomonadati; Pseudomonadota; Gammaproteobacteria; Lysobacterales; Lysobacteraceae.
GUCGAGAGCGCCUCACCUCCAGCCCACGCUUAUCGGUGCGAGUGUUUCUCGCGCAACUGUUCGGGCGUUUGGAAGUGAGUACCCGGUGUGCGGCCCCUGCUGAAUUACGGUGCUGCUGACACCGAGGCGUUAUCGGGCGCGCACACCGGGCUCUCGACGUCUA